This 273-nucleotide ribosomal RNA is filed under the name Triticum aestivum (bread wheat). RNAcentral's name for it is "partial small subunit ribosomal RNA". Lineage: Eukaryota; Viridiplantae; Streptophyta; Magnoliopsida; Poales; Poaceae. The record is from RNAcentral.
GACAUCCGCCAGUUUCGUCCAAUCACAGUCAUCAACGUGAUUUUCCGGAUUCUGGCAAAAGGGUACGCCAAUAGGGUGACCCUCAUCGCUGACCACGUUACCCACCCCAACCAGUCCGCCUUCAUUCAAGGGUGGUAUAUCCUGGAUGGGGUGCUUGUUCUUCAUGAAGUCCUCCAUGAGGUUCGGUCUAAACACCUCAAGGCGGUUUUCUUGAAGAUUGAUUUCCAUAAGGCCUACGACACUAUUAGUUGGCCCUUCCUUCGGGAAGUUUUG